AGAGUUUGAUCCUGGCUCAGGAUGACCUGGCGGUAUGCUUAACACAUGCAAGUCGAACGGAGUGCUUCGGCACUUAGUGGCGGACGGGUGAGUAACGCGUGAGAAUCUGGCUUCGGGUUCGGGACAACAGUGGGAAACUGCUGCUAAUACCGGAUGUGCCGCAAGGUAAAAGAUUAAUUGCCCGAAGAUGAGCUCGCGUCCGAUUAGCUAGUUGGUGUGGUAAGAGCGCACCAAGGCGUCGAUCGGUAGCUGGUCUGAGAGGACGAUCAGCCACACUGGGACUGAGACACGGCCCAGACUCCUACGGGAGGCAGCAGUGGGGAAUUUUCCGCAAUGGGCGAAAGCCUGACGGAGCAAUACCGCGUGAGGGAGGAAGGCUCUUGGGUUGUAACCUCUUUUCUCAGGGAAGAACACAAUGACGGUACCUGAGGAAUCAGCAUCGGCUACUCCGUGCCAGCAGCCGCGGUAAUACGGAGGAUGCAAGCGUUAUCCGGAAUGAUUGGGCGUAAAGCGUCCGCAGGUGGCUUAUCAAGUCGAUUGUCAAAGGUCCUGGCUCAACUGGGAAGAGGCAGUGGAAACUGAAAAGCUAGAGUGCGGUAGGGGUAGAGGGAAUUCCCGGUGUAGCGGUGAAAUGCGUAGAGAUCGGGAAGAACACCAGUGCGAAAGCGCUCUACUAGGCCUGCACUGACACUCAUGGACGAAAGCUAGGGGAGCGAAUGGGAUUAGAUACCCUAGUAGUCC
RNAcentral lists this ribosomal RNA (741 nucleotides) under uncultured bacterium. Its description in RNAcentral is "bacterial SSU rRNA". It matches the Rfam family "Bacterial small subunit ribosomal RNA", at positions 8 to 796 of the family's 1533-position model. The record is from RNAcentral.